AUUAACUUCUAAAGUUUAUAAGCAUAAAAAUUAUUCAAGACAUUGUUUCAUAGGUAACUUACAUAACUAUGUACUCCGCGUGUUUCAUUUCAUAGUCACAUACACUAAAAGUGAAUUAGAUCAUAGUCACAUACACUAAAGUGAAUCAGAUAAUAGUCACAUACACUAAAAGUGUUACUUUACUUUGGGUGAGACUUAGAUAUCGUACGCUUAGUCACGUAUGGAACACAUAUGAUGUACGCUUUUUUACGUAUGGAA
This is a non-coding RNA of Biomphalaria pfeifferi, 258 nucleotides long. Lineage: Eukaryota; Metazoa; Mollusca; Gastropoda; Planorbidae. The record is from the annotation of a GenBank genome assembly.